GAUGAACGCUGGCGGCGUACCUAAUACAUGCCAGUCGAGCGAACAGACGAGGAGCUUGCUCUUCUGACGUUAGCGGCGGACGGGUGAGUAACACGUGGAUAACCUACCUAUAAGACUGGGAUAACUUCGGGAAACCGGAGCUAAUACCGGAUAAUAUAUUGAACCGCAUGGUUCAAUAGUGAAAGACGGUUUUGCUGUCACUUAUAGAUGGAUCCGCGCCGCAUUAGCUAGUUGGUAAGGUAACGGCUUACCAAGGCGACGAUGCGUAGCUGACCUGAGAGGGUGAUCGGCCACACUGGAACUGAGACACGGUCCAGACUCCUACGGGAGGCAGCAGUAGGGAAUCUUCCGCAAUGGGCGAAAGCCUGACGGAGCAACGCCGCGUGAGUGAUGAAGGUCUUCGGAUCGUAAAACUCUGUUAUUAGGGAAGAACAAAUGUGUAAGUAACUAUGCACGUCUUGACGGUACCUAAUCAGAAAGCCACGGCUAACUACGUG
This 497-nucleotide ribosomal RNA is filed under the name uncultured bacterium. RNAcentral describes it as "partial 16S ribosomal RNA". It matches the Rfam family "Bacterial small subunit ribosomal RNA", at positions 28 to 507 of the family's 1533-position model. The record is from RNAcentral.